RNAcentral lists this transfer RNA (47 nucleotides) under Urophycis regia (spotted codling). RNAcentral describes it as "partial tRNA-Val". The record is from RNAcentral. Lineage: Eukaryota; Metazoa; Chordata; Actinopteri; Gadiformes; Phycidae.
CAUCUCCCUUACACCGAGAAGUUGUCCGUGCAAGUCGGACUGCUCUG